UUGCCCUGUGCCUCGCUCGGUUGUUAAUUGUCAGUAUUACAAUCUUGAGCUGGAUGACGGAAGAAUGACAAUUAAUCUGUCUUCUCGCCAAUGGGCUAUAACAACCAGACUUCUUUGAGUACGAGGAUAUCAUUAGUUUUUUCCACGGUAUCGUAUUGUAAUUAGAAUGUCUCAUAUCA
Molecule: small nucleolar RNA, 179 nt
Filed under: Saccharomyces arboricola H-6
Lineage: Eukaryota; Fungi; Ascomycota; Saccharomycetes; Saccharomycetales; Saccharomycetaceae
Source: RNAcentral